Molecule: ribosomal RNA, 253 nt
Filed under: uncultured bacterium
Lineage: Bacteria
Description: partial 16S ribosomal RNA
Rfam family: Bacterial small subunit ribosomal RNA
Source: RNAcentral
UACGUAGGGUGCGAGCGUUGUCCGGAAUUACUGGGCGUAAAGAGCUCGUAGGUGGUUUGUUGCGUUGUCCGUGAAAACUCACAGCUCAAUUGGGAGCGUGCGGGCGAUACGGGCAGACUGGAGUACUGCAGGGGAGACUGGAAUUCCUGGUGUAGCGGUGAAAUGCGCAGAUAUCAGGAAGAACACCAAUGGCGAAGGCAGCUCUCUGGGACGGUACUGACGCUGAGACGCGAAAGCGUGGGGAGCGAACAGG